RNAcentral lists this transfer RNA (77 nucleotides) under Alphaproteobacteria bacterium. RNAcentral describes it as "tRNA-Pro". It matches the Rfam family "tRNA". From Rfam's summary of the family: Transfer RNA (tRNA) molecules are approximately 80 nucleotides in length. Lineage: Bacteria; Pseudomonadati; Pseudomonadota; Alphaproteobacteria. The record is from RNAcentral. RNAcentral also lists the same sequence under 2 other names.
CGGGGCAUAGCGCAGCCUGGUAGCGCAUCAGUCUGGGGGACUGGGGGUCGCAGGUUCAAAUCCUGUUGCCCCGACCA